RNAcentral lists this unclassified non-coding RNA (282 nucleotides) under Fusarium sp. Its description in RNAcentral is "partial contains 5.8S ribosomal RNA, internal transcribed spacer 2, and large subunit ribosomal RNA". The stretch from base 1 to 71 matches the Rfam family "5.8S ribosomal RNA", at positions 84 to 154 of the family's 154-position model. The record is from RNAcentral. Lineage: Eukaryota; Fungi; Ascomycota; Sordariomycetes; Hypocreales; Nectriaceae.
GUGAAUCAUCGAAUCUUUGAACGCACAUUGCGCCCGCCAGUAUUCUGGCGGGCAUGCCUGUUCGAGCGUCAUUUCAACCCUCAAGCCCAGCUUGGUGUUGGGAGCUGUCGUCAAGACACUCCCCAAAUUGAUUGGCGGUCACGUCGAGCUUCCAUAGCGUAGUAAUUUACACAUCGUUACUGGUAAUCGUCGCGGCCACGCCGUUAAACCCCAACUUCUGAAUGUUGACCUCGGAUCAGGUAGGAAUACCCGCUGAACUUAAGCAUAUCAAUAAGCGGAGGA